GAUGGUGUAGCUCAAGUGGCAGAGCACAUGCUUAGCAGGCACGAGGCCCGGGGAUCAAUCCCCAGCACCUCCU
RNAcentral lists this transfer RNA (73 nucleotides) under Camelus ferus (Wild Bactrian camel). It matches the Rfam family "tRNA". Rfam says of the family: Transfer RNA (tRNA) molecules are approximately 80 nucleotides in length. Their secondary structure includes four short double-helical elements and three loops (D, anti-codon, and T loops). Lineage: Eukaryota; Metazoa; Chordata; Mammalia; Artiodactyla; Camelidae. The record is from Rfam by way of RNAcentral.